RNAcentral lists this ribosomal RNA (440 nucleotides) under uncultured bacterium. RNAcentral's name for it is "partial 16S ribosomal RNA". It matches the Rfam family "Bacterial small subunit ribosomal RNA", at positions 338 to 795 of the family's 1533-position model. The record is from RNAcentral.
CCUACGGGUGGCAGCAGUAGGGAAUAUUGCUCAAUGGGGGAAACCCUGAAGCAGCAACGCCGCGUGGAGAAUGAAGGUUUUCGGAUUGAAAACUCCUUUUUUUAGAGAAGAAAAGGACGGAAUCUAACGAAUAAGAACCGGCUAACUCCGUGCCAGCAGCGGCUGUAAUACGGAGGGUGCAAGCGUUACUCGGAACCACUGGGCGUAAAGAGCUCGUAGGCGGGAUAGCAAGUCAGAUGUGAAAUCCUAUGGCUUAACCAUAGAACUGCAUUUGAAACUGUUAUUCUAGAGUAUGGGAGAGGUAGGUGGAAUUCUUGGUGUAGGGGUAAAAUCCGUAGAGAUCAAGAGGAAUACUCAUUGCGAAGGCGACCUGCUAGAACAUAACUGACGCUGAUGCGCGAAAGCGUGGGGAGCAAACAGGAUUAGAUACCCGGGUAGUC